GGACGAACGCUGGCGGCGUGCAUAACACAUGCAAGUCACGGGGGGCCAGCAAUGGCAACCGGCGAACGGGUGCGUAACACGUAAGCGACCUACCUCGAUGUGGGGCAUAGCCGGCCUAACGGCCGGGUAAUUCCGCAUGUGAUCCUUGAGGGGCAUAUCUCGGGGAUGAAACCAGUAAUGGGCAUUGAGAGGGGCUUGCGGCCUAUCAGCUUGUUGGCGGGGUAACGGCUCACCAAGGCGACGACGGGUAGCUGGUCUGAGAGGAUGGCCAGCCACAUUGGGACUGAGAAACGGCCCAGACUCCUACGGGAGGCAGCAGUGGGGAAUCUUGCGCAAUGGCCUAACGGCUGACGCAGCGACGCCGCGUGAGGGAUGAAGCU
RNAcentral lists this ribosomal RNA (380 nucleotides) under uncultured bacterium. Its description in RNAcentral is "bacterial SSU rRNA". It matches the Rfam family "Bacterial small subunit ribosomal RNA", at positions 27 to 415 of the family's 1533-position model. The record is from RNAcentral.